Molecule: ribosomal RNA, 503 nt
Filed under: uncultured bacterium
Lineage: Bacteria
Description: partial 16S ribosomal RNA
Rfam family: Bacterial small subunit ribosomal RNA
Source: RNAcentral
GAUGAACGCUAGCGACAGGCUUAACACAUGCAAGUCGAGGGGCAGCAUAAAAGUAGCAAUACUUUGGUGGCGACCGGCGCACGGGUGAGUAACGCGUAUGCAACCUACCUAUCAGAGGGGAAUAACCCGGCGAAAGUCGGACUAAUACCGCAUAAAACAGGGGCACCGCAUGGUGAUAUUUGUUAAAGAAAUUCGCUGAUAGAUGGGCAUGCGUUCCAUUAGGUAGUUGGUGAGGUAACGGCUCACCAAGCCGACGAUGGAUAGGGGAACUGAGAGGUUGGUCCCCCACACUGGUACUGAGAUACGGACCAGACUCCUACGGGAGGCAGCAGUGAGGAAUAUUGGUCAAUGGGCGAGAGCCUGAACCAGCCAAGUCGCGUGAAGGAAGAAGGAUCUAUGGUUCGCAAACUUCUUUUGCAGGGGAAUAAAGUGCGGGACGUGUCCUGUUUUGUAUGUACCCUGAGAAUAAGGAUCGGCUAACUCCGUGCCAGCCGCCGCCGUAA